CUUUGAUGAGAAAAUAGAUCAAGAAAUUAAAAUUGUGCAGGAGACCAAUGUGGAGGACAACAAAGAAAUUGAGAAAACCUCCAACAAGGAGCAUGUUUUGUGCUGAUGCUAAUGAGGAUCUAGAAGAAUUAGAAGAUGAGGAUAAAUUCACUGAGGUUUUGUCCAAGGAAGGAAAAAAACAAAAGAAAUGCCAAGGUAGAGCAUUGAAGACAAACUUGUACAACACCCAUCAAGAACUGUUCCUUCUAAUACCUCGCAACGAAAUUCCUCUACAGGCAUGUAAGAGGAAUAGCUACACAUGAUUCUAGGUUGGUAGUUAAAAGCUUCUGUACAAAGCAUAAGCCAAAAUUUCUUUUUCUCUUUGAACAUUGGAUGCAUUAUAGGAAUUUCCUUGCUAAAUUUUGGAUUGUGGAUUGGGCUUGGCCUGAAGUCUUUUUUAUUUAAUUGGAGACGUGGAUGUUCCUAACUAAUGAUGAUUAUGCUUUAAUCAAGUGAAUCCUACCAUGGUAUGUAUAUCUGAACAAAAAGUCUCAUAUUAUGAGUGAUUUUAAUGUUG
This 556-nucleotide long non-coding RNA is filed under the name Cicer arietinum (chickpea). RNAcentral's name for it is "long non-coding RNA (CARI_LNC002886)". Lineage: Eukaryota; Viridiplantae; Streptophyta; Magnoliopsida; Fabales; Fabaceae. The record is from RNAcentral.